UGGGGAAUAUUGCGCAAUGGGGGGAACCCUGACGCAGCCAUGCCGCGUGAAUGAAGAAGGCCUUAGGGUUGUAAAGUUCUUUCGAUAUUGAGGAAGGUUGAUGUGUUAAUAGCACAUCAAAUUGACGUUAAAUACAGAAGAAGCACCGGCUAACUCCGUGCCAGCAGCCGCGGUAAUACGGAGGGUGCGAGCGUUAAUCGGAAUAACUGGGCGUAAAGGGCACGCAGGCGGUUAUUUAAGUGAGGUGUGAAAGCCCCGGGCUUAACCUGGGAAUUGCAUUUCAGACUGGGUAACUAGAGUACUUUAGGGAGGGGUAGAAUUCCACGUGUAGCGGUGAAAUGCGUAGAGAUGUGGAGGAAUACCGAAGGCGAAGGCAGCCCCUUGGGAAUGUACUGACGCUCAUGUGCGAAAGCGUGGGGAGCAAACAGGAUUAGAUACCCUGGUAGUCCACGCUGUAAACGCUGUCGAUUUGGGGGUUGGGGUUUAACUCUGGCGCCCGUAGCUAACGUGAUAAAUCGACCGCCUGGGGAGUACGGCCGCAAGGUUA
Molecule: ribosomal RNA, 547 nt
Filed under: uncultured bacterium
Lineage: Bacteria
Description: bacterial SSU rRNA
Rfam family: Bacterial small subunit ribosomal RNA
Source: RNAcentral